ACCACGCCAUCUCUUCGGGAGGAUAUCCAGAUGGAGUUCGACAGGCCGCUCUCUCUACCAGCACUUCCUUCAAAGGUUGUUUGAGGAACCUGAAGAUCACCAAGGCUUCCAAGACCAUGGAUGUGCAGUUCAACAAGGCUCUAGAGAUUAAAGGAGUCCAGCCUCUCUCCUGUCCUGCUGUAGCUGCGUAACCGUUAGCAUAGAUCUUCACCUUUGCGGUUUCCCUAUUACAGUACUUCGUCCAGAACCUGCACUGGGCACAAUGUUUAUAUAUCAGUGUGUUGGCCAGGUGCUGAGUCCAAAAAGUAGGUAAUAUGUUUCACAAGAACUCUCUUGUUGGAGCCCAGGUUUGAUUUUUAUCAGGUACAAAUGCAUCAAGUUUCUCUGCUAAACAGCUUCAUCCUGCCAAGCGUCACAAUGUUUAAAAUUCAAGAGAAAACUACAGAAAGCUCCUAAAAACAGGAAAUUAUCAGCUCAAAAUUCAGCCAUAUUACUUCCUGCAGUUUAUCAGUACUGUUAUAGUUAUGCAUUGAAUAUGAAAUAUCCAUAAAAUAUUACUUAGUCAGUGGUCUCUUAAGGAAAAAGGUUGGAAACCGCUACUAUGGGGUACUAUAUCUGAUUGAGUUGGGCUUAAAUAUGACACACACCUGUGUUACCUUGAUGCCUCUGUACCUGAUAAAGAGCCAGAUUCCUUGUAUGUGUUUACACUUACUUGGCCGUUAAAGCUGUAUCUACAUUGUGCUCUUACUAAAUUAAGAAAAAGGGAAGCAUUCUAUGUCCUUGUGAAAUACAAUUAUCGAUUCUUUCUGUCAAAAUCACAAAAUAAAAACAAACUCAUCCAGUUUGUAGGGUCACUGACAAUGUCUCAGUGUAUCAUAUAUUGCCUUUUGUAAAAUACAAAUAUCUAAACGGCAUGAAAACACCUGUGUUUUGCUCCUGUUUGGGGCUAACAACGUACAAAGUUACAAUUUUCAGUCUGAGAACAUGACUUAAUUUACAGUGUAAGGCUCUGGUCAAUAAAUCUUAUCAUGGCUACAAAUUGAGGUCUCAGUGUUUUAAAAUGUGUUUUAUAGUUUUUACAUGAAGGAAGGAAGAUAUUAGUAUAAAGACCUGUGCUAUGGUUACAGGUGUUCACGGUAUUCAAGCUAAUAUUUUUGGGAUAUGUGUGAUUAUUUAGACAUUAAAUCAGAUUUGUUUCCCAGAGAAGUCCCUCUUGAAAAGGUAGAACAGGGUAUGUUGAGUCCUUUAGUUUAAUAUUUACUGUCUCACCCUCAAGACAACAGAUGAAGUUGGAUUUCUUUUCAGCCCUCUGUACAGCAACAGAUGUGACCAGUGCUCUUCAGAGAUCUUAAAAUUACAACGAAAACAGCUGAUCCAAUGGUUCUAAAGCCAGAUGCCUGUAUUUGUGUGUUAUGUUUUGCAUGGUGUGGCUGAAAAAUACUUCAGCAGCUCUUUCUGAAAUAUAUUCCUAAUAGCAUCAAAAA
This is a long non-coding RNA of Perca fluviatilis (European perch), 1484 nucleotides long. RefSeq lists it as uncharacterized. The record is from RefSeq and is a predicted model, not a curated record. Lineage: Eukaryota; Metazoa; Chordata; Actinopteri; Perciformes; Percidae. The transcript has 2 exons.